RNAcentral lists this ribosomal RNA (330 nucleotides) under uncultured bacterium. RNAcentral describes it as "bacterial SSU rRNA". It matches the Rfam family "Bacterial small subunit ribosomal RNA", at positions 568 to 898 of the family's 1533-position model. The record is from RNAcentral.
UCCGUAGGCGGUGUGGCAAGUCGGAAGUGAAAUCUCUGGGCUUAACUCAGAGGCUGCUUCCGAAACUGCCGUGCUAGAGUGCGAGAGAGGCAAGUGGAAUUGCGGGUGUAACGGUGAAAUGCGUAGAUAUCCGCAGGAACAUCCGAGGCGAAAGCGGCUUGCUGGAUCGCAACUGACGCUGAGGGACGAAAGCUAGGGGAGCAAACAGGAUUAGAUACCCUGGUAGUCCUAGCCCUAAACCAUCAGGACUUGGGGUUUGCCCUGUACGGGGCAAGUCCCGUAGCUAACGCGUUAAGUCCUGCGCCUGGGGAGUACGGUCGCAAGGCUGAA